GAUGAAGAACGUAGCGAAAUGAGAUAAGUAAUGUGAAUUGCAGAAUUCAGUGAAUCAUCGAAUCUUUGAACGCACAUUGCGCCCGCCAGUAUUCUGGCGGGCAUGCCUGUUCGAGCGUCAUUUCAACCCUCAAGACCCCUUCGGGGGACUUGGUGUUGGGGACCGGCACAGGGGCCUGCCUGCUUGUCUUGCAGCGCCCUCGCCGCCUCCGAAAUGAAUUGGCGGCCUCGUCGCGGCCUCCCCUGCGUAGUAGCACAACCUCGCAACGGGAACGUGACGGCGGCCACUGCCGUAAAACAACCCCAAUUUUAUUAGAGUUGACCUUGAAUCAGGUAGGAAUGCCCGCUGAACUUAAGCAUAUCAAUAAGCGGAGGA
Molecule: unclassified non-coding RNA, 375 nt
Filed under: soil metagenome
Description: partial contains 5.8S ribosomal RNA, internal transcribed spacer 2, and large subunit ribosomal RNA
Rfam family: 5.8S ribosomal RNA (bases 1-120)
Source: RNAcentral